This 893-nucleotide long non-coding RNA is filed under the name Lathyrus oleraceus (garden pea). RNAcentral's name for it is "Pisum sativum (pea) long non-coding RNA (PSAT_LNC019586)". Lineage: Eukaryota; Viridiplantae; Streptophyta; Magnoliopsida; Fabales; Fabaceae. The record is from RNAcentral.
UCAGAAGCUACACUCAGGAGUGGAGGUGGAUGCAUCUUGAGGUGUAGGUGAUAGGAAAUUACACCUAGGAGUGGAAGUGGAGAUUGAAGAGGUGUUCUCUUGUAUAGGUUCUUCGGUUUCAGUUUCAUCAACAUCUCCCUCCUGCAUACAACGGUAUUGAAAGCAAAAAAAAUCAUAAUCAAAUUUCAUUUGUGUUUCAUGCCGGUUACGAACGUGUACAAAGAAAAAAUCAGACCUGCGCAUAAUUCAUUAUUGGCCCAUUCACGAAUAAAUCCUUUUUGAUAAGGAACAUAUUCCUUUCCGCCCACCGCGUAUUGCAAUGCGUGUAAAAUUUGUUGAAAUUCUUCCAAUUUUUAUCUUUUUCCGGGCCUCUUUCCUUUAAUUUGAUUUCUCUAAAAUCAGCAAUGCGUUUUUUCACAUGUUCCGGCUCCAACCCCAACUGUUUCCAACAAAUAUGUACAGGAUGUUUUGCAAUAUUACCAAAGCAGAUGAUAUAUACUUUCGCAUAUACCAUCCAACUUUGAUAUUGGAAUUGAUCGAGCAAUUCAGCUUCUAGACCAUCCCUCUUAUAAGGGAACAAAUCCACCUUUGAAACAUAAAAUAAAGUAUUAAUAAACUAAAAUAUUGUUAGAAGUUGAAUUAUUGUUAAAUCUUCGAAAUCAGCCCUGUUAUUAUUAACAGGAUAUAUAUCAAUUGUAGGAAGAAGACUAACACACUAACUAACUAACUGAGUUUUUAACUUACUAACAUCUAGACUUGACUAAGCUAAGCUAUACAACAAGAUAGAUAAUCAUUGAACUAUAUACUCUAAAUAAGUACAAUUCACUUUUGAGAUGUAGCAAACUUACCUCUUCAUCUGUCAUUUCCCGAAGCUUAUCAUAACAAGUUGCCAU